GACGAACGCUGGCGGCGUGCUUAACACAUGCAAGUCGAACGGAAAGGCCCUGCUUUUGUGGGGUGCUCGAGUGGCGAACGGGUGAGUAACACGUGAGUAACCUGCCCUUGACUUUGGGAUAACUUCAGGAAACUGGGGCUAAUACCGGAUAGGAGCUCCUGCUGCAUGGUGGGGGUUGGAAAGUUUCGGCGGUUGGGGAUGGACUCGCGGCUUAUCAGCUUGUUGGUGGGGUAGUGGCUUACCAAGGCUUUGACGGGUAGCCGGCCUGAGAGGGCGACCGGCCACAUUGGGACUGAGAUACGGCCCAGACUCCUACGGGAGGCAGCAGUGGGGAAUAUUGCACAAUGGGCGGAAGCCUGAUGCAGCAACGCCGCGUGCGGGAUGUCGGCCUUCGGGUUGUAAACCGCUUUCGCCUGUGACGAAGCGUGAGUGGCGGUAAUGGGUAAAGAAGCACCGGCUAACUACGUG
This 468-nucleotide ribosomal RNA is filed under the name uncultured bacterium. Its description in RNAcentral is "partial 16S ribosomal RNA". It matches the Rfam family "Bacterial small subunit ribosomal RNA", at positions 28 to 507 of the family's 1533-position model. The record is from RNAcentral.